AGCAUAGCGUAGUGGUCAUAGCGUAUGAUUGGUGUUGUGAGGUCGUGGGUUCGAGUCCCGCGUGUGCCA
This 69-nucleotide transfer RNA is filed under the name Hordeum vulgare. RNAcentral describes it as "tRNA-OTHER". The record is from RNAcentral. Lineage: Eukaryota; Viridiplantae; Streptophyta; Magnoliopsida; Poales; Poaceae.